Molecule: RNase P RNA, 349 nt
Filed under: Actinomycetes bacterium
Lineage: Bacteria; Bacillati; Actinomycetota; Actinomycetes
Description: Actinobacteria bacterium (soil metagenome) partial RNase P RNA component class A
Rfam family: Bacterial RNase P class A
About the family: Ribonuclease P (RNase P) is a ubiquitous endoribonuclease, found in archaea, bacteria and eukarya as well as chloroplasts and mitochondria. Its best characterised activity is the generation of mature 5'-ends of tRNAs by cleaving the 5'-leader elements of precursor-tRNAs. Cellular RNase Ps are ribonucleoproteins.
Source: RNAcentral
UGAGCCGGCUGGGUGGCCGCGGCACGACGGUUUCGACCGAUCGUGUCGAGGAAGGUCGGGGCUCCACAGGGCAGGGUGCUGGCGAGAUGCCAGUCGGGGUGACCCGCAGGAAAGUGCCACAGAAAACAGACCGCCGAUGGCCCCCCGGGGCACAGGCAAGGGUGAAACGGUGCGGUAAGAGCGCACCAGCGCCCGGGGUGACCCGGGCGGCUCGGCAAACCCCACCCGGAGCAAGGCCAAGUGUGGGAACGGGUGGCCCGCCCGCUGCCUCUGCGGAGGCAGCAUCCCCAGGUAGGCCGCGUUAGAUGGAUGGUCACCACGCCCUCCGGGGCGUACAGAACCCCGCCUA